This 216-nucleotide ribosomal RNA is filed under the name uncultured bacterium. Its description in RNAcentral is "partial 16S ribosomal RNA". It matches the Rfam family "Bacterial small subunit ribosomal RNA", at positions 118 to 351 of the family's 1533-position model. The record is from RNAcentral.
UGGGAACAUGCCCUUCGGUUCGGAAUAACUCGGGGAAACUCGAGCUAAUACCGAAUACGCCCUUACGGGGAAAGAUUUAUCGCCGAUGGAGCGGCCCGCGUCUGAUUAGCUAGUUGGUGAGGUAACGGCUCACCAAGGCGACGAUCAGUAGCUGGUCUGAGAGGAUGAUCAGCCUCACUGGGACUGAGACACGGCCCAGACUCCUACGGGAGGCNG